Molecule: ribosomal RNA, 578 nt
Filed under: Rhodotorula mucilaginosa
Lineage: Eukaryota; Fungi; Basidiomycota; Microbotryomycetes; Sporidiobolales; Sporidiobolaceae
Description: partial large subunit ribosomal RNA
Rfam family: Eukaryotic large subunit ribosomal RNA
Source: RNAcentral
UCCCCUAGUAGCGGCGAGCGAAGCGGGAAGAGCUCAAAUUUAUAAUCUGGCACCUUCGGUGUCCGAGUUGUAAUCUCUAGAAAUGUUUUCCGCGUUGGACCGCACACAAGUCUGUUGGAAUACAGCGGCAUAGUGGUGAGACCCCCGUAUAUGGUGCGGACGCCCAGCGCUUUGUGAUACAUUUUCGAAGAGUCGAGUUGUUUGGGAAUGCAGCUCAAAUUGGGUGGUAAAUUCCAUCUAAAGCUAAAUAUUGGCGAGAGACCGAUAGCGAACAAGUACCGUGAGGGAAAGAUGAAAAGCACUUUGGAAAGAGAGUUAACAGUACGUGAAAUUGUUGGAAGGGAAACGCUUGAAGUCAGACUUGCUUGCCGAGCAAUCGGUUUGCAGGCCAGCAUCAGUUUUCCGGGAUGGAUAAUGGUAGAGAGAAGGUAGCAGUUUCGGCUGUGUUAUAGCUCUCUGCUGGAUACAUCUUGGGGGACUGAGGAACGCAGUGUGCCUUUGGCGGGGGUUUCGACCUCUUCACACUUAGGAUGCUGGUGGAAUGGCUUUAAACGACCCGUCUUGAACCACGGACCAAA